UACGUAGGGUCCGAGCGUUGUCCGGAAUUAUUGGGCGUAAAGAGCUCGUAGGCGGCUUGUCGCGUCGACUGUGAAGGCCCGCGGCUCAACCGCGGGUCUGCAGUCGAUACGGGCAGGCUAGAGUUCGGUAGGGGAGACUGGAAUUCCUGGUGUAGCGGUGAAAUGCGCAGAUAUCGGGAGGAACACCAGUGGCGAAGGCGGCUACCUGGCCCAUUCUUGACGCUGAGGCGCGAAAGCUAGGGGAGCAAACGGG
RNAcentral lists this ribosomal RNA (253 nucleotides) under uncultured bacterium. RNAcentral's name for it is "partial 16S ribosomal RNA". It matches the Rfam family "Bacterial small subunit ribosomal RNA", at positions 524 to 776 of the family's 1533-position model. The record is from RNAcentral.